UAUUUAUAUAUAUAAAGGGAUAUAUUUUGCUAUAUUAGAAUUUAGAGGGACUAAUAUGUUAGCCUCCCUCCCAUAACCUUUCCAUCGGAGCAGAAACAGAAGGACGAUCGGUAAGUCAAUUCAUGGAUGCUGAAAACGUAGGGGACGGCCACACCUUCUUUUACAUGCGAAAGCAAGCUAUGGUGGAUUAUGGCGGCAGCAAUCGUUGACUCUGACGUCCGUUUUGUAUGAACAUCUCACGAGUUGGUAAGUCAAUAUUGUUUCAGUCCAAUAUAUAUUUAUCUUCUUCUUCGACUCUCGCUGGCCAAAUGUGUUCCUCCCAAGAACCAAAGUCUGAGAUCGUCAAAGUAGGAAAGCAGUGGUCUUCGUCAACAACAGCUUCUUGUGAGGGGAUUUGACAACAAGGGCAAUUAACUUGCCGACCAACUGUUCGACGGUGGUUCGAGGCGAGGAAUACUUCGUCGAGUGUGUCGCAUCAGAGCAGAGCAUCGGAUGAUGGUACAAAACUAAACUCCGUUUAGAAAGAUAGUUUAGAUGGGAUCCCAUUGCUCGUUGUCCUUCGGAUCAUUGAUUCGACUCGAAUUGGAUUAAAAUAUUAUAUUAUUUUAUUUUGAGAAACUAGAAUCAAUCGUCCUGAUUUCAAACCGAUUAAAUGAUAGAAAUAAAUAAAAAUAAAUCACAUGUAGAGUUUAUGGUUGAUGCUUAAAUCUUUUAUUUUAAAAUUAAGUAACCUAGUUUCAAAUCGAUUAAAAUUGUAUAAAUUUAUAUUUUUAUGUCAUUACACUUAUUAUAAUUAUACAUCUAUUUUCAAAUUUUAGAAAUACAAUUAUGAAUUUUUAUAUAAUUUUUUAUGUCAUUACACUUGGAUGAUUCAGUUUUGAUGGACAUAUUUAUGUUCGAAUCUUAUUCAAAUUGUAUGAAGACCGAGAUCAAAUUGAUUUCUCGAUAUGGUCCCUUUCAUACUAUACUCGAUUAUCGUGAUCUAAUGACUUUCUACAAUGGGUUUAAUUGAGAAAAUAUUUUAAGGUGAGAUAUGUUUUGAAAAUUCUAUUUUGGAUUAACGUCUACAUGACCCAAUCAUUAACCUAAAUCUAAUCUUUCUAAUUGUGCUACCAUACAUGAUGAGAUGUGAUCGAGAUAAAUGUUUUUUUUAUGAAAAUAUAAAUCAAAAGAGUUUAGAUUGGAUGACAUAUUUAUGUUUGAAAUCUGGUAAAUCGUCAUCGACACAUGAGAUGGAGUGUUCAUGUCUCAUCUAGCAUGUCUCUGCUUGCUUUGUUAUGUGAAAGAAAAUACUCAUUCCUUUGUUUGAAAGCAAUCAACAAGCUCUAAAUUUUCUAAUGAGAACAUUCUUGUAUAUUAAAAUUGUAACCUGAACAACUCUUCAAUCAACAAUCUGCAUGAGUACCUAAUUUAGACUUUGAGUGUAAUUUUUCUAUGUCAAAUUUUAAUAUUAAAAAAUUAAUCAGGAGAGUUUUAGAAUAAAUAAUCAAGAGAGUUUUUUUCAUCAAAAUUUUUUAAGAAAUUUUAUUAUAUUUAAAAAAAUUAUUGAUUGAUAAUCGUUAUCAGAAUUCAAUCAUAUUUAUAAUAUAUUUUUUUAAUUAAAUAUAACUCAUAAUCUAAUUAAAUUUAAUGAGAAAAUUCUUGUAUAUUAAAAAUGUUAUCUGAACAACUCUUUUGAUCAACAACAAUCUGCAUGAGUACCUAAUUUAGACUUUGAGUGCAACUUUUUUGUGUGUGGAAAGCAACAGCUGAGCAUCCAAUCAUUCACCCACCACCAUCAAAAACUACACUUCCUAGUAAAAGUCCAACCAUCAUCCAAUUGCUCUCUUGACCCUGAACAUAAAAAUCAAUAAUAUGUUAUUAUUAUAUAAAAAAUUUUAAUAUCAAAAAAUUAACUUCCUUAUGUGGCUAAAAGGAGAUAAUAAAAUAAAUAUGUAUAAUUUUUUAAUAAUAUCAUGUAUCCAUACAUCGACAUUUAGUUUCCGUAAAAUUUUAUCUAUUUAUAAGCGAGAAUAGAAGUUUUACGGUAAAUAAUUAAGAAAUUUUCUUCCAUAAUCUAAUUAAUUUUUUUAACGAGAACAUUAUUGUAUAUUAAAAAUGUUAUCUGAACAACUCUUUCGAUCACCAACAAUGAGUAACUAAUUUAGACUUUGAGUGCAACUUUUCUCAGCGUGGAAAGGAACAGCUGAGCUUCCCAUCAUUCAUCCACCACCAUCAAACACUGCACUUACCAGCAAAAGUCCAGCCAUCAUCCAAUCGCUCUCUUGACUGACCAAGUUUAGUAGGUGAGGCAAUCUCUUCCCAUUUCUUGUGAGUGGAGGAAGAACACAUGUCGAGCCUACGACAAUUUCAC
RNAcentral lists this long non-coding RNA (2353 nucleotides) under Musa acuminata (dwarf banana). RNAcentral describes it as "long non-coding RNA (MACU_LNC004383)". Lineage: Eukaryota; Viridiplantae; Streptophyta; Magnoliopsida; Zingiberales; Musaceae. The record is from RNAcentral.